GGGCGUUUGAGAAUUGAGAGGAGCUGCUCCUAGUACGAGAGGACCGGAGUGGACGUACCUCUGGUGUUCCGGUUGUCACGCCAGUGGCAUUGCCGGGUAGCUAUGUACGGAAGGGAUAACCGCUGAAAGCAUCUAAGCGGGAAGCCCACCCCAAGAUUAGGUUUCCCGGAUCUUCGGAUCCCUGAAGGGCCCUUGAAGACUACAAGGUUGAUAGGCUGGGUGUGGAAGCGCGGCAACGCGUGAAGCUAACCAGUACUAAUUGCCCGUGCGGCUUAAACC
This 279-nucleotide ribosomal RNA is filed under the name Gammaproteobacteria bacterium. Its description in RNAcentral is "partial 23S ribosomal RNA". It matches the Rfam family "Bacterial large subunit ribosomal RNA", at positions 2649 to 2925 of the family's 2925-position model. Lineage: Bacteria; Pseudomonadati; Pseudomonadota; Gammaproteobacteria. The record is from RNAcentral.